This 253-nucleotide ribosomal RNA is filed under the name uncultured bacterium. RNAcentral describes it as "partial 16S ribosomal RNA". It matches the Rfam family "Bacterial small subunit ribosomal RNA", at positions 524 to 776 of the family's 1533-position model. The record is from RNAcentral.
UACGUAGGUGGCAAGCGUUGUCCGGAUUUACUGGGCGUAAAGGGCGCGUAGGCGGUUCUGUAUGUCUACCGUGAAAGCCUACAGCUCAACUGUAUUUUGUCGGUAGAAACUGCAGGACUUGAGGCUGGGAGGGGAUGGUGGAAUUCCCUGUGUAGCGGUGAAAUGCGUAGAGAUGGGGGAGAACACUCGUGGCGAAGGCGGCCAGCUAGACCAGUUCUGACACUGAGGCGCGACAGCGUGGGGAGCAAACAGG